Molecule: long non-coding RNA, 2492 nt
Filed under: Cricetulus griseus (Chinese hamster)
Lineage: Eukaryota; Metazoa; Chordata; Mammalia; Rodentia; Cricetidae
Description: lncRNA (ENSCGRG00015042447.1)
Source: RNAcentral
CACCAAACUAAUAGCCUUUGUAAAGCUGAAUAAAUUACACAGAAAUUAUAAUUACGGGUUAAAAGAAUCGUCCAGUGUUUUCACAGCUCUUCCGAAUUACACAGUAACACAAAUCUCUGACACUUACGAGUGGGAAGAUCUGUUUCACAGUAACAUAAUUUUAAUUUACAUUGACAUUCCUUUUAAAUAUAUUACUAUGAUGUUUAUAUCACAAUGGUGCUUUCCAAUGUCCACAAUUUACAAUUUCAAUUUAUAAUUCAUUAAUGUAAGGGACAGAUGUUACUACUGUAACUGUAACUAAGCAGAAAAAUAAACCAACAGCCUACAAACAAGUAUAAAAAUAAUAUGACUUCUAAUAUAUGAAUGUAACAUGAUUUUUCACAUUUGGGCUGUUUUCUAAACAACAGUAUGUAAACUUGCCUAUUUAAUAUAUGACAGCUAUAACUUUAUUCACUGAGAAAUAAUGCAUUUAUUUUCCUCAACCUUUUCUCUCCCUUUAUCUCAAAAUAUUCUUGACUUGCUGUUUUUAGUCAAUGAAUAACAAACUGUACUUAUUGGUGGGGAGGUAAAAAGACGACAAACACUGUAAAAAGAAAAUGACGACCCCGCAAAUUAAUUCUUACAUUUUUUCUCUUUUAUAUCAUUUUUAAAAUUCAGUUAUAUUGCUUAGUCUUUCUUUUGAGACAGGGCUCUCACUAGGUAGUUCUGGAUAAACAGUAUCUCAUGUAAGCUAGGUGGGCCUAGAAUUUAGAUGCACCUGCUUUUGCUUCUGAAGCUAGGAUGAAGAUUUGUAUGCCUCACCAUCGAGAAGCACUUUUUUUAAAACACCAAUACAAAUAAAUUAUGGCAGGAAGGAACCAUCCUUGAUCCUAAAAUUUUAAUUUUCUUGAUAGAAGAACAAAAUUUUUCAAUAAUCCAUUAUAAGUUUAGGUUAGAUAUAUGAUUUGAUUAAGCUGGUCAAAGUAGUAAAAAACCACAAUCCAGAAAAUGGUUGAUUAUUUUGGUUCCGGGGGUGAAAAUUCAAAGAAGAGAGACUAACACACAUUGAAAAAAAACUGUCUCCCAUUUUAAAGAGGAUUUUUAAAAAGUCACUGGAGAGUUUGAACCUCUGAAAUCUAUUUGACCUAUCCAGUAUUCAGGUCUAGAACAGAAUGCUCAAUUUCUUUUCAAUCAUCACUAUCCUUUUCUUGAAUAUCUGACUGAUUGGUAUUCACAGCUUCACACACAUUCAGAGCCUAAUAGCUAGCUCACUACAAUACACUAUUUUUUUGCUUGUCCUUAUUGGUAUUUUUCCCCAACAUGUUCCUUUUAAUGAGGUUUGAUAAUAUUGAACAUUCUGUGAAAAUAACUAAUACAGAGUUAGAAAGAAAUAUACAGGUAUUAAAUAGGAAAAAGCCUUACUUACAGAGCAACCUAGCCAGCCGGCAUGGCAGCAGUAUGUAAGGCAAGUACAGAAGUGAAACUGAAAGAGAAAACACAGUCCCCUGGAAGUCUCACUCUAUAUUACCCUGACCAUGCCCUCGCAAGAGUGGUCAGGCACACCUGUAGCCAGCCCCUAAAUAGGUGAUGUUACAGCUUCUCCUACAAUUCCCCUUUUAGUCUAAAAGAGGAUUAAAACUUAACAGUGAAAAGUAUCCAAAAUUAACAAUCAUAAAGGUAAAUAUAAGAAAAUACAACAAUCUGCUUAUGUCACAUCCUAACUAUCUAUUUUAACUAAGCCCUAAAGUCAUCUGAAAGUGGUGUCCAAGCCUGAACACCUCCUUCCAAUCCCAACCAUAAACAAUAGGAAGCAAUCCCUAACUAGGUAUAUACACUAUCCUAAGUGACAACAAUGGGGAAAGGGGGCAUAGCAUCCUACAAGUUACUUCCUGCUGAAAUGGGAUGAUGAUAGUCAUGUGGGUUCCUGUAGGAAGAAAAUGUUAGUAUAGUGAAAAUCUUGAAUGGAUUGUAUAUAGUCCAUGUUAGAUGGGUUUCACUUGAUUGAAGAUCUCAAUUGAUCCCCAACUUGAUUGAAGUCAGUACCCGAACCUCUGGCCGGAGUGUCAGUUGAAAUGGAGCAAGUUGGAUCCAGUGCAGUGGAGGAGGUGUCUCCCAUUUUCUUUAGAGGGUGUCCAGGGAAUGCUGUCAGGCAGGUCUUCAUUGGCUGUGUGGGACUCAAACAUUAACAGUUAGCAGAGAAAUGUUUGCUUGUGGAUGUACAUGUGCUGGGGAGUACAAUCAUGAGACUAUAACAAUUAUGAGAGGGUGUACACCUUGAGGGAAAGAUCCAAGAAAAGACAGAGAAAGUCCCCAAAUUCUUCUUUUAUUCUGUAUUACAUCAUUGGCUUCUUGAUACAAUACAGAAACUCUAAAGUUUAGUUAAAUAAUGUGCUUCGAUUUUAGAGGAGGAAAGCCAAGUCCACCUCUAAAUCCAGCAUUGAUUUAAUUGAAGAGGGACUAGGAAAGAAAGAGAAAUAGAGUUCUCUGAGAGACAGCUGUAAAGUUUACCAUAU